RNAcentral lists this long non-coding RNA (386 nucleotides) under Rattus norvegicus (Norway rat). RNAcentral's name for it is "long non-coding RNA NONRATT003339". The record is from RNAcentral. Lineage: Eukaryota; Metazoa; Chordata; Mammalia; Rodentia; Muridae.
CGUCUCAUCGUGGUUCUUUCAGAUGCCUUCCUCAGACGUCCCUGGUGUAGCCAGAGCUUCCGGGAGGGACUGUGCCGCCUACUGGAGCUCACCCGCAGACCUAUCUUUAUCACCUUCGAGGGCCAGAGGCGUGAGCCCAUUCACCCUGCUCUCCGUCUCCUGCGCCAGCACCGCCACCUCGUGACCCUGCUGCUUUGGAAGCCUGGCUCCGUGGUGCGAAGGCUGGAGGCGAGGGGGUGGGGGGUUGUGAGUGGUUGCCUGGGGUGGUGGAGGGCUAGGGGGACCUGCAGUCAGCCAACAGCAGUGCUAUUUGGGCCUGGGUGGCUAGAGGCUUCCAGUUUGUAGAUCCCCAUGUGUUUAUACUGACGGUCCAAACCUGGCCCCCA